Molecule: ribosomal RNA, 813 nt
Filed under: Triticum aestivum (bread wheat)
Lineage: Eukaryota; Viridiplantae; Streptophyta; Magnoliopsida; Poales; Poaceae
Description: partial small subunit ribosomal RNA
Source: RNAcentral
AUGUUGGCAUUCAUCCAUAGAGAUGGUCUCGACAAGGAUCAGUUUGGGGAUCUAGAAUCCUUGGGUUAUCCCAAGCCUUUAAAUGAUGGCAUGAUCUUGGUUAACACUUUUGAAGAGCCUUUCGGCGAUGAAUGUGGUGAAGGUGUUUGGAGUGAACUAAGUGAAACAACUUGUGACAUAUUAAAGAGAAAUAUUGUAGCACUUGCUUCAUUCUGUGGAGGCAAGAGAUUUUUUGCAUGCACGGGUCUUUUUAUUGAAUGGAAGGGGUUUACAACAAUCUUGACUUCAGCGAGCUUGCUUAGAGAAUCUGGUUGUAAAGAUCAGAAGAUUGUUAAAAACUUGAGGAUUGAAGUGUUGCUUCCAAACAAAGGUCGCGUGGAAGGGAAAUUACAACAUGUUAGUUUACAUUACAAUGUCGCUCUGGUCAGCGUCAAGGAUUUUUGUGCUAGCCAACCAGCAGUGAAAGUUGAACAUCGGUGGCCUGAUUCUGGUAAAGUACUAGCUGCCGGGUGCUGCUUCAGUUCCGGCAGACCGAUGGCUGCAAGAGGGCAAAAGUAUGGCAGGCCGAAUGUCCAAUUUGAUUGCAAAUAUCUUGGAUACUCUACUUGCAAAAUCACCAAGGCUGGGAUUGGAGGUCCCCUUGUUGAUCUUGAUGGGAAAUUUGUCGGCAUGAACUUCUACGACAAGUACGUAGGUCACACACCGUACCUGUCAUGGCGGGAGAUUGUCCCUCUCCUGGAAUAUUUUGAGACAAAAGGGUAUGGUCUAGAUUUCAUUUUGGGUAUUCAAGUGCCUGUCGUGUGUUGUAUUUAG